Molecule: ribosomal RNA, 402 nt
Filed under: uncultured bacterium
Lineage: Bacteria
Description: bacterial SSU rRNA
Rfam family: Bacterial small subunit ribosomal RNA
Source: RNAcentral
AACGAACGCUGGCGGCGCGCCUAAUACAUGCAAGUCGAGCGAGAAGACGUAGCAAUACGUUUGUAAAGCGGCGAACGGGUGAGGAAUACAUGGGUAACCUACCCUCGAGUGGGGAAUAACUAGCCGAAAGGUUAGCUAAUACCGCGUACGCUCCUUGGACUUCGGUUCAGGGAGGAAAGCGAUACCGUGGGUAUCGCGCUCUUGGAUGGGCUCAUGUCCUAUCAGCUUGUUGGUGAGGAACGGCUCACCAAGGCUUCGACGGGUAGCUGGUCUGAGAGGACAAUCAGCCACACUGGCACUGCGACACGGGCCAGACUCCUACGGGAGGCAGCAGUAAGGAAUAUUGCGCAAUGGGCGAAAGCCUGACGCAGCGACGCCGCGUGGGGGAUGAAGGUCUUCGGA